AAAAAACAAGACAGGGUACUCGGGGAGCUCAUGAAUGAUGAAGCUGAUCGAUAAUGGAUAGAUGGAUGAGAUUGGAAUUUAGGUUUCAGGGUGGAAUUAUGAGUCUGGUGAGUUGAACGAGAGCAGUAAGCGACUAAGAGUGUUCAAAAUGGAGGAGGAAAGUGUAAGAAGAAGGGAAUGCCUGCUAAGAAUCUGAUGGCUGUGAAGGGGAGGAGGAAGAAGCAAAAUGAUAGGCUUUAUAUGCUUAGAUCAGCAAAGUAAACAACAAACUUGAGUCAACUCCACCUGGAUCUUUGCCUCCAACUCCACAAAUCUUCCAUCCAUUAGCUCCUACACCUCAUAUUAUUUCUUUCUGUGUAAAGGAAGAAUUAUGUCCUUCAUCUUUGCCAAGCUUUAAAGGCCAACAAGCAAGAGUUGAGGUUAGACUAAGGGAAGGAUUUGCAGUGAACAUUAAGCGGUGAUUAGCUGUUUCAACGGGGUUGCCGUGAGUGUUUUCCACGCUGAGCAAUAUCAAGGACAUGAGAUAUUGCUUGAAAUCAAAGCAGUACU
Molecule: long non-coding RNA, 549 nt
Organism: Brassica napus (rape)
Lineage: Eukaryota; Viridiplantae; Streptophyta; Magnoliopsida; Brassicales; Brassicaceae
Exons: 3
Source: RefSeq, a predicted model, not a curated record